GGCACUGCAUCACAGGGAGCCUGGUUAUUGGACAGAUGGAACUCCAGCUCUGGGAUUUAACCUUAGUUAAGUAAGAGGAUAUGAUGAAGUUGGCCAUCUUUCCAGGUACAUCUCACCAAGGGAGCAGCUCAUAGGUUCUCUCUUCUGUCUGUGGAUUCAGGAAAUCUUACAUCAUGGGAAAAAGAAAUGGAGCCCGGAGCCUACCUUGGAUGCAUCCAGGGUCAGAGGGCCAGGUUUGAUGGAUUCCUGCGAAAUUCUCCAUGCACCAUGCGCAACAUGCAUAGAAGAGUAUACUAGUAGAUGAGAAUGAAAAAAAAAAUGUGUACCAGAAAACAAA
RNAcentral lists this long non-coding RNA (337 nucleotides) under Mus pahari (shrew mouse). RNAcentral describes it as "lncRNA (MGP_PahariEiJ_G0002361.1)". The record is from RNAcentral. Lineage: Eukaryota; Metazoa; Chordata; Mammalia; Rodentia; Muridae.